RNAcentral lists this ribosomal RNA (459 nucleotides) under uncultured bacterium. RNAcentral describes it as "bacterial SSU rRNA". It matches the Rfam family "Bacterial small subunit ribosomal RNA", at positions 29 to 507 of the family's 1533-position model. The record is from RNAcentral.
AGCGAACGCUGGCGGCAGGCCUAACACAUGCAAGUCGAACGAACCCUUCGGGGUUAGUGGCGGACGGGUGAGUAACACGUGGGAACGUACCUUUAGGUUCGGAACAACACAGGGAAACUUGUGCUAAUGCCGAAUGUGCCCUUCGGGGGAAAGAUUUAUCGCCUUUAGAGCGGCCCGCGUCUGAUUAGCUUGUUGGUGAGGUAAAGGCUCACCAAGGCUUCGAUCAGUAGCUGGUCUGAGAGGAUGAUCAGCCACACUGGGACUGAGACACGGCCCAGACUCCUACGGGAGGCAGCAGUGGGGAAUCUUGCGCAAUGGGCGAAAGCCUGACCCAGCGACGCCGCGUGGGUGAUGAAGGCCUUCGGGUUGUAAAACCCUUUCGUGCGGAAAGAAUAGUCCUGUAGCGAAUAACUACGGGAUUUGACGGUACCGCAGGAAGAAGCACCGGCUAACUCCGUG